This 737-nucleotide ribosomal RNA is filed under the name uncultured bacterium. RNAcentral's name for it is "bacterial SSU rRNA". It matches the Rfam family "Bacterial small subunit ribosomal RNA", at positions 8 to 722 of the family's 1533-position model. The record is from RNAcentral.
AGAGUUUGAUCAUGGCUCAGGACGAACGCUGGCGGCGUGCCUAACACAUGCAAGUCAAGGGGAAAGUUUAGCUUCGGCUGGAUGAGUAUACUGGCGGACGGGUGAGUAACGCGUAGGCAACCUGCCCUAUGGCCAGGGAUAACCCACCGAAAGGUGGACUAAUACCUGAUAACACAGCGUAUUCGCAUGUUUAUGCUGUUAAAGUUUGCUUUUCGGAGCACACACCAUUGGAUGGGCCUGCGUUCCAUUAGUUAGUUGGUGAGGUAACGGCUUACCAAGGCGACGAUGGAUAGCUGGUUUGAGAGAGUGAUCAGCCACACUGGGACUGAGAUACGGCCCAGACUCCUACGGGAGGCAGCAGUGAGGAAUAUUGCGCAAUGGGCGAAAGCCUGACGCAGCAACGCCGCGUGGGGGGUGAAGUUCUAUGGAGCGUAAACCCCUGUAAGCGGGGACGAAAGUUGUAUGUUCGAACAGGGCAUACAUUUGACGGUACCCGCAGAGUAAGCUCCGGCUAACUCCGUGCCAGCAGCCGCGGUAAUACGGGGGGAGCGAGCGUUGUCCGGAAUUACUGGGCGUAAAGGGCGUGUAGGCGGUUUGGUAAGUCAGAUGUAAAAGCCCCCGGCUUAACCGGGGAUGGUCAUUUGAAACUGCCGGGCUUGAGUUCGAGAGAGGGUAGCGGAAUUCCCAGUGUAGCGGUGAAAUGCGUAGAUAUUGGGAAGAACACCAGUAGCGAAGGC